UCCGAGUUGACCCCGGCAGUCUCCUGUGAGUCCCCAACUAAAUGCUGGCAACACAGAACGAGGGUUGCGCUCGUUGCGGGACUUAACCCAACAUCUCACGACACGAGCUGACGACAACCAUGCACCACCUGUAUACCGACCUUUUACAGCUAUGACAUUUCUGCCAUAUUCCGGUAUAUGUCAAGCCUUGGUAAGGUUCUUCGCGUUGCGUCGAAUUAAGCCGCAUGCUCCGCUGCUUGUGCGGGGCCCCGUCAAUUCCUUUGAGUUUUAAUCUUGCGAUCGUACUCCCCAGGCGGGGCACUUAAUGCGUUAGCUGCGUCGCAGAAACCGUGGAAGGUUCCCACAACUAGUGCCCACCGUUUACGGCGUGGACUAC
This 376-nucleotide unclassified non-coding RNA is filed under the name uncultured Sporichthyaceae bacterium. RNAcentral's name for it is "contains 16S-23S intergenic spacer region". Lineage: Bacteria; Bacillati; Actinomycetota; Actinomycetes; Sporichthyales; Sporichthyaceae. The record is from RNAcentral.